UCCUCGCGAUCCCCUUUCUCUCACAUGCGCUUCCUCCCUCUCUCCCUGUGUGGCGCGGUGGCCCCUGCGCCCUCCAGUUCUCAACCCCUGAGCCCUCCACCUCCAUUCCUCAUCUGCUCGACUGCUCGCCCCCUCCUCCUCCGCACCCUCCAGCCGCCGCCGACACAGCCGCGCCGCGUACACAGCCCUGCGAACCCCCGCGCCGAUCGAGCCAACACCGUCCGAUUCCCUGCUGUAACGCCGCCGCCACCGCGUCGCGGGGUUCAGUGGCCAUCAGGACUCUCCAGAUUCGCAUCUGACAGCACGAGAGACCACCCCGGCGCCGCCCCCUCCGCGAAUUCCCUCGGAAUCUCGACUCGCGAUUCGGGGUUCGGUGAGCCUCUUUGCUCGAUCGGAUUCGUGCACGGCGACAAGAUCCAUCCCACUUCGAGCGCUUCUGGACUGCGCCGUGCGGAUCCCGGCGCCUGAUGCGGCAAGGCUCAUCUGUGCACAGGGUACGCUCGGAGACGCAGGAGGCUCUGCGACGGCGUGCUGGCGCGGAGGGUGCGGGCCGGCGCCGAGAUGAAGGGCACCUCGUCCAUCCCCGCAGCGGUCGCCAUCAUACCUUCGCCGGCGCGUCAAGGUCAUAUUGUUCCUCCUAUGGGGUUUAUGCUGUUGCAAGGUCAGUGCUGCUCUGUACAUCAACCCUGGAGAAUUGAGCUAAUGCUGCCCUUCCUUUACAACGGUGUUGCUAUGUCGUGUGGGUCAUGUUGAAACCUUUCUUUACAAUUUCGUUUUUGCUAAAUCUGGUUUUGAGCUGACAAUUAUGUUUAUUCUUCUUGUGCAAGGAGAUCAAGGCGAGGGCUAGAUGAUGGAUUUUGCAGCCUGCAGUUGUAUCCCCCACUUUGUAUGUGUAUGUACAAACAUGUGAAGAAAGUCAUGGUCAUAGGAUCUCCAAGUGCAGAUGACAUCAUUAACCAGUCUUCAUUUUCUGUGAUAGAUUUUGUGUUAUUUUGAUUUUCAUUAUGUUGCCACUUGCGUGUGAUUAUACGGUGCUUGUAAAAUCAAAUAUACACUGCUCCUAGACAUGUUUUGGAAUCAGAACAAUAUGAGAAGUUCUGGAGUA
Molecule: long non-coding RNA, 1105 nt
Organism: Lolium perenne
Lineage: Eukaryota; Viridiplantae; Streptophyta; Magnoliopsida; Poales; Poaceae
Source: RefSeq, a predicted model, not a curated record